RNAcentral lists this ribosomal RNA (460 nucleotides) under uncultured Desulfuromonas sp. RNAcentral's name for it is "bacterial SSU rRNA". It matches the Rfam family "Bacterial small subunit ribosomal RNA", at positions 921 to 1382 of the family's 1533-position model. The record is from RNAcentral. Lineage: Bacteria; Pseudomonadati; Thermodesulfobacteriota; Desulfuromonadia; Desulfuromonadales; Desulfuromonadaceae.
CCGCACAAGCGGUGAGCAUGUGGUUAAUUCGACGCAACGCGAGAACCUUACCUGGGCUUGACAUCCCGAUCGCACCUUAUGGAAACAUAGGGGUCAGUUCGGCUGGAUCGGUGACAGGUGCUGCAUGGCUGUCGUCAGCUCGUGUCGUGAGAUGUUGGGUUAAGUCCCGCAACGAGCGCAACCCUUGUCCUUAGUUGCCAGCAUUCAGUUGGGCACUCUAAGGAGACUGCCGGUGUCAAACCGGAGGAAGGUGGGGAUGACGUCAAGUCCUCAUGGCCCUUAUGUCCAGGGCUACACACGUGCUACAAUGGCCGGUACAAAGGGGCGCAAGACCGCGAGGUGGAGCAAAUCCCAAAAAACCGGUCUCAGUUCGGAUUGGAGUCUGCAACUCGACUCCAUGAAGUUGGAAUCGCUAGUAAUCGCGUAUCAGCAUGACGCGGUGAAUACGUUCCCGGGCCUU